UGGGGAAUUUUGGACAAUGGGCGAAAGCCUGAUCCAGCAAUGCCGCGUGUGUGAAGAAGGCCUUCGGGUUGUAAAGCACUUUUGUCCGGAAAGAAAUGGCUCUGGUUAAUACCUGGGGUCGAUGACGGUACCGGAAGAAUAAGGACCGGCUAACUACGUGCCAGCAGCCGCGGCAAUACGUAGGGUCCAAGCGUUAAUCGGAAUUACUGGGCGUAAAGCGUGCGCAGGCGGUUGUGCAAGACCGAUGUGAAAUCCCCGAGCUUAACUUGGGAAAUGCAUUGGUAAAUGCACGGCUUGAGUGGGACAGAGGGGGGUAGAAUUCCACGUGUAGCAGUGAAAUGCGUAGAGAUGUGGAGGAAUAACGAUGGCGAAGGCAGCCCCCUGGGAUAACACUGACGCUCAUGCACGAAAGCGUGGGGAGCAAACAGG
This 429-nucleotide ribosomal RNA is filed under the name Bacillota bacterium. Its description in RNAcentral is "Firmicutes bacterium partial 16S ribosomal RNA". It matches the Rfam family "Bacterial small subunit ribosomal RNA", at positions 355 to 776 of the family's 1533-position model. The record is from RNAcentral. Lineage: Bacteria; Bacillati; Bacillota.